RNAcentral lists this long non-coding RNA (2066 nucleotides) under Salmo salar (Atlantic salmon). RNAcentral describes it as "lncRNA (ENSSSAG00000087851.1)". The record is from RNAcentral. Lineage: Eukaryota; Metazoa; Chordata; Actinopteri; Salmoniformes; Salmonidae.
ACAUGAACCCUUUCUGGUUCACACAUUUUAAUCUAAAUCGUAUGCUAAUGUGUUUGUGUGUGUCAGUCAGGACGAGACCAGAAGACAGAGGGUUGCGUUUUCUCUGUCUAUAAGCUGUGCACAUACACAUCUAUUUAUCUUGAUGUUCCGUCUGUAGGGGUGAUGGGGAUUAGGUUGUAUACUACACUGUCUGUAGGGGUGAUGGGGAUUAGGUUGUAUACUAUACUGUCUGUAGGGGUGAUAGGGAUUAGGUUGUAUACUAUACUGUCUGUAGGGGUGAUGGGGAUUAGGUUGUAUACUAUACUGUCUGUAGGGGUGAUGGGGAUUAGGUUGUAUACUGUCUGUAGGGGUGAUAGGGAUUAGGUUGUAUACUGUCUGUAGGGGUGAUAGGGAUUAGGUUGUAUACUAUACUGUCUGUAGGGGUGAUGGGGAUUAGGUUGUAUACUAUACUGUCUGUAGGGGUGAUGAGGAUUAGGUUGUAUACUAUACUGUCUGUAGGGGUGAUAGGGAUUAGGUUGUAUACUAUACUGUCUGUAGGGGUGAUGGGGAUUAGGUUGUAUACUAUACUGUCUGUAGGGGUGAUGAGGAUUAGGUUGUAUACUAUACUGUCUGUAGGGGUGAUAGGGAUUAGGUUGUAUACUAUACUGUCUGUAGGGGUGAUGGGGAUUAGGUUGUAUACUAUACUGUCUGUAGGGGUGAUGGGGAUUAGGUUGUAUACUAUACUGUCUGUAGGGGUGAUGGGGAUUAGGUUGUAUACUAUGCUGUCUGUAGGGGUGAUGGGGAUUAGGUUGUAUACUAUACUGUUUGUAGGGGUGAUGGGGAUUAGGUUGUAUACUAGACUGUCUGUAGGGGUGAUAGGGAUUAGGUUGUAUACUAUGCUGUCUGUAGGGGUGAUGGGGAUUAGGUUGUAUACUAUACUGUCUGUAGGGGUGAUGGGGAUUAGGUUGUAUACUAUACUGUCUGUAGGGGUGAUGGGGAUUAGGUUGUAUACUGUCUGUAGGGGUGAUAGGGAUUAGGUUGUAUACUACACUGUCUGUAGGGGUGAUGGGGAUUAGAUUGUAUACUAUACUGUCUGUAGGGGUGAUGGGGAUUAGGUUGUAUUCUAUACUGUCUGUAGGGGUGAUGGGGAUUAGGUUGUAUACUAUACUGUCUGUAGGGGUGAUAGGGAUUAGGUUGUAUACUAUGCUGUCUGUAGGGGUGAUGGGGAUUAGGUUUUAUACUAUACUGUCUGUAGGGGGAUAGGGAUUAUGUUGUAUACUGUCUGUAGGGGUGAUGGGGAUUAGGUUGUAUACUAUACUGUCUGUAGGGGUGAUGGGGAUUAGGUUGUAUACUAUGCUGUCUGUAGGGGUGAUAGGGAUUAGGUUGUAUACUAUACUGUCUGUAGGGGUGAUGGGGAUUAGGUUGUAUACUGUCUGUAGGGGUGAUGGGGAUUAGGUUGUAUACUGUCUGUAGGGGUGAUAGGGAUUAGGUUGUAUACUAUACUGUCUGUAGGGGUGAUGGGGAUUAGGUUGUAUACUAUACUGUCUGUAGGGGUGAUAGGGAUUAGGUUGUAUACUAUACUGUCUGUAGGGGUGAUGGGGAUUAGGUUGUAUACUAUACUGUCUGUAGGGGUGAUAGGGAUUAGGUUGUAUACUAUACUGUCUGUAGGGGUGAUGGGGAUUAGGUUGUAUACUAUACUGUCUGUAGGGGUGAUAGGGAUUAGGUUGUAUACUGUCUGUAGGGGUGAUAGGGAUUACAUGUGGAUCAUAGUAUUGGAAGAGUUUUUCUUCCACCAGGAGACUUCUAGUUAAAUCCUGUACUUCUAAUGUUAUAUUAUUGCAUCUUUCAGGGAAAUCGUAAAAUGAUGUUUCAUGACCGUGUAUGACCUUAGAGUCAAAUCCCGAUCCGUCCCGUACAGUUUACAGCUAUGGGACUACCCUGUUGUGCAUGACAACCACAAGCUCACUGAGUGGCGGUAGUUUAUGGAGUUAUAGAGGUGAGACACAUAGGCCCUGUAGACGCUUCAGUUUAAUUCUGUUAUUAUGUCAUUAUAAUGUGACUGCCACCUUGACCCUGUCCACCCUCAC